CCUACGGGUGGCAGCAGUGGGGAAUAUUGGGCAAUGGGCGCAAGCCUGACCCAGCAACGCCGCGUGAAGGAAGAAGGCUUUCGGGUUGUAAACUUCUUUUCUCAGGGACGAAGAAAGUGACGGUACCUGAGGUAUAAGCCACGGCUAACUACGUGCCAGCAGCCGCGCGAAUACGUAGGUGGCAAGCGUUAUCCGGAUUGAUUGGGUGUAAAGGGCGUGUAGGCGGGAGCGCAAGUCAGAUGGGAAAACUCAGGGCUCAACCCUGAGCCUGUAUUUGAAACUGUGUUUCUUGAGUGCUGGAGAGGUAAUCGGAAUGCGGGGUGUAGCGGUGAAAUGCGUAGAGAUACGGAAGAACACCGGUGGCGAAGGCGGAUUGCUGGACAGUAACUGACGCUGAGGCGCGAAAGCGUGGGGAGCGAACAGGAUUAGAUACCCCAGUAGUC
Molecule: ribosomal RNA, 443 nt
Filed under: uncultured bacterium
Lineage: Bacteria
Description: partial 16S ribosomal RNA
Rfam family: Bacterial small subunit ribosomal RNA
Source: RNAcentral